GAUGAACGCUAGCUACAGGCUUAACACAUGCAAGUCGAGGGGAAACGACAUCGAAAGCUUGCUUUUGAUGGGCGUCGACCGGCGCACGGGUGAGUAACGCGUAUCCAACCUGCCCAUCACUUGGGAAUAACCUUGCGAAAGUAAGACUAAUACCCAAUGAUAUCCCACGAAGGCAUCGGAAUGGGAUUAAAGAUUUAUCGGUGAUGGAUGGGGAUGCGUCUGAUUAGCUUGUUGGCGGGGUAACGGCCCACCAAGGCAACGUUCAGUAGGGGUUCUGAGAGGAAGGUCCCCCACAUUGGAACUGAGACACGGUCCAAACUCCUACGGGAGGCAGCAGUGAGGAAUAUUGGUCAAUGGGCGAGAGCCUGAACCAGCCAAGCAGCGUGCAGGAAGACGGCCCUAUGGGUUGUAAACUGCUUUUAUAAGGGAAUAAAGUGGGUCACGUGUGACUUUUUGCAUGUACCUUAUGAAUAAGGACCGGCUAAUUCCG
This 490-nucleotide ribosomal RNA is filed under the name uncultured bacterium. RNAcentral's name for it is "partial 16S ribosomal RNA". It matches the Rfam family "Bacterial small subunit ribosomal RNA", at positions 28 to 505 of the family's 1533-position model. The record is from RNAcentral.